UGGGGAAUUUUGGGCAAUGGGCGAAAGCCUGACCCAGCAACGCCGCGUGAAGGAUGAAGUAUUUCGGUAUGUAAACUUCGAAAGAAUAGGAAGAAUAAAUGACGGUACUAUUUAUAAGGUCCGGCUAACUACGUGCCAGCAGCCGCGGUAAUACGUAGGGACCAAGCGUUGUUCGGAUUUACUGGGCGUAAAGGGCGCGUAGGCGGCAAUUCAAGUCAUCUGUGAAAUCUCCGGGCUUAACUCGGAACGGUCAGAUGAUACUGCUUUGCUAGAGUGCAGAAGGGGCAAUCGGAAUUCUUGGUGUAGCGGUGAAAUGCAUAGAUAUCAAGAGGAACACCUGAGGUGAAGACGGGUUGCUGGGCUGACACUGACGCUGAGGCGCGAAAGCCAGGGGAGCAAACGGGAUUAGAUACCCAAGUAGUCCCUGAGCGGGCUGGCAAGGCGCAU
This 447-nucleotide ribosomal RNA is filed under the name uncultured bacterium. RNAcentral describes it as "bacterial SSU rRNA". It matches the Rfam family "Bacterial small subunit ribosomal RNA", at positions 355 to 825 of the family's 1533-position model. The record is from RNAcentral.